RNAcentral lists this long non-coding RNA (1577 nucleotides) under Homo sapiens (human). Its description in RNAcentral is "long non-coding RNA NONHSAT173796.1". Lineage: Eukaryota; Metazoa; Chordata; Mammalia; Primates; Hominidae. The record is from RNAcentral.
CCCUAAAACUUAAACUAUAAUAAUAAUAAAAUAAAACAAGAAAAAAAAAGAAAGCCUCAACGCGGCUCCCUUGGGGUCGCCGGGCGUAGCCCAGCCAGGGGAGGGUGGCGGGACGUGAAGGGGGCGGGGCAUCGGCUUCAGAGCUCCUUGGAAGGUGGCAGGCAGCCGGUGGGGGACGCUGAGCCAGAGACGUCUGGCAGGAUAUAGAUCUGGAAGCUGCGUCAGUCCUCUCCCAUACUUCUCCCACGGAAAAUCCCACAGCGGCGGUGGGAGCCUUGGCUGGUGGAGAAGCGGGGACAGGGGGGAGAGGGAAGGAGACCCUCGGGAGGAUUUAGCACCGAAAACCCACCCAGCCAAGUUCCCUCCCACCUAUCGGGUCCAAGGUACACCCUGGGAGGCGGCAAGAGAAACCUUCACCCCGUGCUUUUUGUCUUUCUCUUUAUUUUUUUCAUCUUUUCAAUUUUACAAGAGAUGCUCAUUUCAACAACCAGGCGGUUGAUGUGACGGAAGAAGUGUCAAGUCCAGGAGUUUGAGACCAGCCUGAGCAACUGAGCAACACAAGUAGGAGAGCCCAGCUGAAAAAAAUGAAAAAAAGAAGGAGGAGGAGGAGGAAAGAAAAGAAAAGAAAAGAAAAGAAGAGAAAAAAGUUAAAAUUAUCCAAUGGUGCAGGCACAAAAAAGAGUGAUUUCACGUCUUUUCCCACAACAUGGAUAGAGCUGGAAGCAAGUAUGUACCGAGUGAACUGCCUUCUGCUUACAAGUGGGAGGUAAAUAAUGGGUACGCGCACGGUCAUCAAGAUGGAAAUAACAGACACUCCAAAAGGGAGGAGGAGGGUAAGAGGGGGAGGAGGAGGGUAAGAGGGGGACGAGGAAUGAAUAAAUCGCCCGUCAGAGACAACGUUCGCCACGUGGGUAAGGCAUACACUGGAGGUCCACUUCUGCAUCCGGAAGCAGUAGUAUGCUGAUCUAACAAACAAGCACAUACACCCCCUGAGUCUGUAAAAUACCAAAACAACGACGACAGCACCAGCAGCAGCAGCAACAGCAGCAGCAGCACCAACAACAACAACAACAGAACAGAAGCUGGAACACAAAACCACCACCACCACCACCACAGUCGCCAGUCGGGGGUUGGGGGAGGGUGGCCGCGCUCGAGACCCUCAGGCACAGUCCCCUCGGGUUUAAAAAAGAAAACUGCAGACUCAUUCCUGUCUGUAGGCAGGAAAAAUCCAAUCAAAGUUCUCCAUUGCUAGAAAGGGAAGUAGAAUAAGGAGAAGGGCUUAUUGAUCUUCUUGUGAUCGAUUGAGACCACACAUGUAGGAAAAAAUUAAAUACAGACAGCAACACUUUCUACACUGUUCAAAAGCAUUGGAGAUCAGGCGCACCACACACCAUGGGCCUUGAGCCACUAGAGAGAAAAGGCAGGCCAGGUGCGGUGGCUCACGCCUGUCAUCCCAGCACUUUGGGAGGCCGAGGCGGGUAGAUCACGAGGUCAGCAGAUCGAGACCAUCCUGGCUAACACGGUGAAACCCCGUCUCUACUAAAAAUACAAAAUAUUAGCCAGGCCUGGUGUGGGCG